Molecule: long non-coding RNA, 843 nt
Organism: Oryzias melastigma (Indian medaka)
Lineage: Eukaryota; Metazoa; Chordata; Actinopteri; Beloniformes; Adrianichthyidae
Exons: 6
Source: RefSeq, a predicted model, not a curated record
UUCUUAAAAGAAAACAAGAGAAGAUGGUUUAUUUUAAGGUAAUAUGCAGAACUGGUAAAAAAUAAGCCCAUAACCCAAAACACAAUGUGCAAUUUAAUAUGACAAUUUAAUUAAAUUCGAUUACAAAAUCUUAAUUAAAUGAAAGGAAGAAGUAUCACUAAUAAUCUGGUUUAGUUGUAGUAUUUUCCGACCAAUUAUAAUGUCUGUAACACUCUGUAGUAACAGAGGUGCUCACGUGCAGGGACGUAGCCCAAACGCUCUAUAUCACUAAGCUGGCUGGUUACAGAAAAAAAAGAAAAACCUUAAUCAUCUGGACGAAAACAAACGAUGACAAGACUACCAGACUGCAUUGAAGAUGACAUUGGUGAUGACUCUGCAGGAAAUGAACAACCAAUAAGACGACCAUGUGCCCUUCUGGACUCAGCAGGAAUACAAAACUGGUGAGACGACCGUCUGCACGCCACAUUGUGGAGUCAUCAGAAGAUAAACAGCUGGUGAGACGACCGUCUGCAGGCCACAUUGUGGAGUCAUCAGAAGAUUAACAGAUCAGUUCUGAAGACCAAGAAGUCUGGAGUGAGGAAGAUGCAUCUACAGGUGAACCAGACCACACAGAAAACCUCGGUGGAACUUCACUCCAUGAACAAAAUGGAGUAGUGACUUUCUUGCUUUUUUUAUUAACUAGAUGAAAAGCUUUCUUCAAAAUCUCAGACCGUACAGUUGAGGCCAUUCAUAAAAUUGUAAAAGCUUUACUGUGUUUUAAGGUAGCAUAGUGUGUGUGAGUGUUUUACGAAACAUCACAAGACUUCCCUGCCACUUUAUACAGCAGGGGUCUUCAAGUAAAAU